Molecule: RNA transcript, 2892 nt
Organism: Magnolia sinica
Lineage: Eukaryota; Viridiplantae; Streptophyta; Magnoliopsida; Magnoliales; Magnoliaceae
Gene name: chloride channel protein CLC-f-like
Exons: 10
Source: RefSeq, a predicted model, not a curated record
UAAAAUCAGUUCUUUCUCUUCUCUGCCGCGAGAAGAUCAAAUCUCUGAAAUUAUUUAGCUUUUUCGAUCCUUCUCUUCAAAUUCCUGUUCUACCCUUGCAUUUCCCUCCUCCAAAUUCCCUUUUGACCCCUCUUUCUCUUGCGGCAUUUCCUUCCCAUGAUCGAUCUCUAAGGUUUUAUUCCCACGAGCUGAGAAUGUCGGGCGGAGGCAAUUUCACCGACCACCACCUUCUGAUUCGAUCGAAUCCUUCCGCGUCGGAAGAGCCUGAUUUGGAGUGGCAUGGGUCGAAGAAGAAAGGGAUCAAGGUUCUGUUGAAGCAGUUGGAUGGAGGGACGUCGGGGAGGCGGUUGAAUCGGUUGAAUUUGGACAGGGAGGUGGAUUCUCCAUUUCAUCAAAUGUCACCGUCGCACAAUGCUCUUGGCAAUGGGGCCCCGCCCGAAUGGGCAUUGCUGCUGAUUGGGUGCUUUCUUGGACUUGCCACGGGGCUCUGCGUUGCCGCUUUCAAUCGAGGGGUGCACAUAAUACAUGAAUUUGCCUGGGCGGGCACUCCAAGUGAAGGUGCUGCUUGGCUCCGUUUACAAAGACUAGCCGAUACAUGGCACAGGAUACUGUUAAUACCAGUGACAGGAGGGGUUGUUGUUGGCAUGAUGCAUGGAUUGCUCGAAAUCUUUGAACAAAUAAACCAAUCCAGGUCUUCUCAAAGGCAAAGCUUCGAUUUGCUGGCUGGAGUCUUCCCCACAAUAAAGGCCAUCCAGGCUGCUGUAACUUUAGGUACAGGUUGUUGUUUAGGUCCCGAGGGUCCCAGUGUUGAUAUCGGCAAAUCAUGUGCCAAUGGGUGUUCUAAAAUGAUGGAAAACAACACAGAAAGGAGGAUAGCACUGGUUGCAGCUGGUGCAGCUGCUGGAAUUGCUUCAGGGUUUAAUGCAGCAGUUGCUGGUUGCUUCUUUGCCAUCGAAACUGUGCUAAGGCCACUUCGAGCAGAAAACUCACCUCCAUUUACAACUGCGAUGAUAAUAUUGGCAUCUGUUAUAUCGUCUACUGUGUCGAAUGUUUUAUUGGGGGAGAGGCCAGCCUUUACAGUGCCCACGUAUGAACUGAAAUCUGCUGCUGAGCUACCUUUAUACCUCAUAUUGGGUAUGUUAUGUGGGGCAGUAAGUGUAGCCUUCACUCGCUUGGUGACUUGGUUCACUAAGGCUUUUGAUUAUAUCAAGGAGAGAUUUGGCCUCCCUGCAGUUGUAUGCCCCGCUUUAGGUGGUCUAGGAGCUGGUAUAAUAGCUCUGAGGUACCCAGGGAUACUGUAUUGGGGCUUUACAAAUGUGGAUGAAAUCCUACGCACGGGGAAGAGUGCUUCAGCACCUGGAAUUUGGCUAUUGACUCAAUUGGUGGGGGCCAAAGUUGUGGCGACUGCUCUUUGCAGGGGAUCUGGGCUUGUGGGUGGUCUUUAUGCCCCAAGCUUGAUGAUUGGUGCUGCUCUUGGUGCCGUGUUUGGGGGUUCGGCUGCAGAAAUCUUCAAUUCAGCCAUCCCAGGCAAUGCUGCUGUUGCUCAGCCACAGGCCUAUGCUCUGGUCGGGAUGGCUGCUACAUUAGCUUCAGUUUGUUCAGUUCCCUUGACAUCAGUGCUACUUCUGUUUGAGCUGACAAAGGAUUACAGAAUUUUGCUUCCACUCAUGGGGGCUGUCGGAUUAGCAAUAUGGGUGCCUUCCGUAGCAAACCAGGCCAAGGAGAAUGAGGCAUCUGAUUCAAGGACCGUUAGGCGAGGUUAUUCUUCUCUUUCACCUGUUGAAGACAAAGGCCAGGCUAUUUGGAGGCAAGUGGAUGGUGGAAAUGUUGUAGAACUCUCUGACCUAGAAAAUGCUGUUGACCACGAAAUUGAUAAUGAAGAUACAAUUCUGGAUGAACUGAAGGUUUCUCAUGCCAUGUCAAAGUACUACGUGAAGGUCUCACCACAAGUAACUGUGAAAGCAGCAGUAAAAUUUAUGCAUGAUAAGCAGCAAAAUUGUGUUAUUGUGGUCGAUGCUGAAGAUCUUCUUGUUGGUAUCCUUACGCUUGGUGAUGUUCGACGGGGACUGUCCAAAGCAUCUGUCAAUUCUCCCAAGAAUGAUUUGUCAGUUUCAGAUGUGAAUGCAUGUCUUGUUUCGUCUCGUUGCACCCAAGGAAUACACUAUCAAGGAAGAGAAUGUGGGCUUUUAACUUGUUAUCCAGACACAGAUUUGACAAUUGCAAAGGAACUUAUGGAGGCCAAAGGAAUCAAACAGCUGCCAGUGGUUAGGCGUGGUGUAAAAAUGAGAAAAGAACGGAAGCGCAGAGUUGUCGCCCUUCUUCAUUAUGAUUCAAUCUGGCACUGUCUCAGAUGGAAAUAUUCCUUACACAGAGAGGAGGUGGACCGUCGAAAAUUUGUCUACAGGCCCACAACAAAUCUUCCAGAAAUCUCUGGGAAUGGUCACUGAAUACAGAAAUGGUUCAAUUCACCUGCUUUGAAAACUGCCUCCAACAGCUGAAGCAAGAAGGCCAUAUGGGUAAACAACCAUUUAGUCUCUGGGUGCCUUAUGCAGCACUAGCCGAGUAUUUACUUCCAUCAGAUCUCUUAUUUCAGCAGCCGGAUUUGAUUUAGCACCAGCAGAAGCCUAUAUCUCAGUAUGGGUCCUUUGUAUGAUCAAACUCCCAAUUGUAUAGACAUGACGAAACACAAGGUGACACACCUGAUGAACGGGUCGGAUCUAAUCAACUGUUUUUCUAAGUAACUUUCUAAAGCAUCUUUGGUAUCAGAAGCAAAUCCAAAUUCUAAAAUUUCCCACACAGAAGUGCUUGUACUUUGUGUAUUAAGACCAAGGUUUUAAAGUAUCAUCUAAAACUGGUACAUAUAGCCUCACAUGAACCCUAAUCUUGAAUUAA